UUGUUUUGUAAGACCUGUGGGGUCCCUUCAGAUUAUUCUUACAAUUGGAUUUUCUUUUCUUAACUAAGCAGCUACUCAAUCUCUCUUUGCUUUUCUUUCAAUGACAUUAGAGUUCCAGAGCAAGAGGAAAGGAAUCUUUCACUCAGUUUAGUUUGAUUGAAAAGGCCCACUUAAUUAAAAUGUAUAUAUUCAGAAACAUUUCCCUGUAUCUUCCUUCUUGUUUAGUUAAAAAAUAAAUUUUAUUCAGC
Molecule: long non-coding RNA, 248 nt
Filed under: Homo sapiens (human)
Lineage: Eukaryota; Metazoa; Chordata; Mammalia; Primates; Hominidae
Description: HSALNT0164260
Source: RNAcentral